GGGAUAACACUUGAAAACAGGUGCUAAUACCGUAUAACACUAUUUUCCGCAUGGAAGAAAGUUGAAAGGCGCUUUUGCGUCACUGAUGGAUGGACCCGCGGUGCAUUAGCUAGUUGGUGAGGUAACGGCUCGCCAAGGCCACGAUGCAUAGCCGACCUGAGAGGGUGAUCGGCCACACUGGGACUGAGACACGGCCCAGACUCCUACGGGAGGCAGCAGUAGGGAAUCUUCGGCAAUGGACGAAAGUCUGACCGAGCAACGCCGCGUGAGUGAAGAAGGUUUUCGGAUCGUAAAACUCUGUUGUUAGAGAAGAACAAGGAUGAGAGUAAAAUGUUCAUCCCUUGACGGUAUCUAACCAGAAAGCCACGGCUAACUACGUGCCAGCAGCCGCGGUAAUACGUAGGUGGCAAGCGUUGUCCGGAUUUAUUGGGCGUAAAGCGAGCGCAGGCGGUUUCUUAAGUCUGAUGUGAAAGCCCCCGGCUCAACCGGGGAGGGUCAUUGGAAACUGGGAGACUUGAGUGCAGAAGAGGAGAGUGGAAUUCCAUGUGUAGCGGUGAAAUGCGUAGAUAUAUGGAGGAACACCAGUGGCGAAGGCGGCUCUCUGGUCUGUAACUGACGCUGAGGCUCGAAAGCGUGGGGAGCGAACAGGAUUAGAUACCCUGGUAGUCCACGCCGUAAACGAUGAGUGAUAAGUGUUGGAGGGUUUCCGCCCUUCAGUGCUGCAGCA
This 727-nucleotide ribosomal RNA is filed under the name uncultured bacterium. Its description in RNAcentral is "bacterial SSU rRNA". It matches the Rfam family "Bacterial small subunit ribosomal RNA", at positions 140 to 853 of the family's 1533-position model. The record is from RNAcentral.